GCGGAUGGCUGGAUGGUCGCGAGUACACUCGAGGAAAGUCCGGACUCCUCAAAGCAGCGGUGCCGGGUAACACCCGGGCGGGGUAACCCGAUGGAAAGCGCAACAGAAAGUAAACCGCCCGUUUAUUCGGGUAAGGGUGAAACGGUGGGGUAAGAGCCCACCGAGGUUUUGGUAACAGAGCCUGCAUGGCAAGCCCCACCGGGAGCAAUGCCGAAUAGGGACCUACAAAGAAAGCCUGCAAGGGUUUUCUACUUUGCUUUGGAGUUAGGUUCGGGUAGGCAGCUAUAGGGUUUGUAGUAAUACAGACUUUAGAUGAAUGAUCAUCCACAAGGUUUUAUACCUUGGGACAGAAUCCGGCUUAUAGGCCAUCCGCACUU
This 377-nucleotide RNase P RNA is filed under the name Rhodobacteraceae bacterium TMED160. RNAcentral describes it as "RNase P RNA component class A". It matches the Rfam family "Bacterial RNase P class A". From Rfam's summary of the family: Ribonuclease P (RNase P) is a ubiquitous endoribonuclease, found in archaea, bacteria and eukarya as well as chloroplasts and mitochondria. Lineage: Bacteria; Pseudomonadati; Pseudomonadota; Alphaproteobacteria; Rhodobacterales; Paracoccaceae. The record is from RNAcentral.